Ipomoea nil (Japanese morning glory) is the source of this 102-nucleotide long non-coding RNA. RefSeq lists it as uncharacterized. The transcript is spliced from 4 exons. Lineage: Eukaryota; Viridiplantae; Streptophyta; Magnoliopsida; Solanales; Convolvulaceae. The record is from RefSeq and is a predicted model, not a curated record.
AAUUGUUGAAAAUGAUUCUUCAUGGAAUGCAAUGGAACCUACCUUGUGAACUGUGAGUAAGGUGUUUGUUCUUGGAUUUCUAAGGAUGAAACCGGAAAGGAA